UAAGGAAUAUUGCGCAAUGGGCGAAAGCAUGACGCAGCGACGCCGCGUGGGGGAUGAAGGUCUUCGGAUUGUAAACCCCUUUCGGCAGGGAAGAUGGAGCGGGCAACCGCUCGGACGGUACCUGCAGAAGCAGCCACGGCUCACUUCGUGCCAGCAGCCGCGGUAAUACGAAGGUGGCAAGCGUUGUUCGGAUUUACUGGGCGUACAGGGAGCGUAGGCGGUUGGGUAAGCCCUCCGUGAAAUCUCCGGGCCUAACCCGGAAAGUGCGGAGGGGACUGCUCAGCUAGAGGAUGGGAGAGGAGCGCGGAAUUCCCGGUGUAGCGGUGAAAUGCGUAGAGAUCGGGAGGAAGGCCGGUGGCGAAGGCGGCGCUCUGGAACAUUUCUGACGCUGAGGCUCGAAAGCGUGGGGAGCAA
RNAcentral lists this ribosomal RNA (414 nucleotides) under uncultured bacterium. RNAcentral's name for it is "bacterial SSU rRNA". It matches the Rfam family "Bacterial small subunit ribosomal RNA", at positions 355 to 771 of the family's 1533-position model. The record is from RNAcentral.